RNAcentral lists this ribosomal RNA (301 nucleotides) under uncultured bacterium. RNAcentral's name for it is "partial 16S ribosomal RNA". It matches the Rfam family "Bacterial small subunit ribosomal RNA", at positions 509 to 807 of the family's 1533-position model. The record is from RNAcentral.
CAGUCGCCGCGGGAAUACAGAGGGUGCGAGCGUUAAUCGGAUUUACUGGGCGUAAAGCGUGCGUAGGCGGCUAAUUGAGUCGGAUGUGAAAUCCCCGAGAUUAACUUGGGAAUUGCAUUCGAUACUGGUUAGCUAGAGUGUGGGAGAGGAUGGUAGAAUUCCAGGUGUAGCGGUGAAAUGCGUAGAGAUCUGGAGGAAUACCGGUGGCGAAGGCGGCCCCCUGGACAAAGACUGACGCUCAGGUGCGAAAGCGUGGGGAGCAAACAGGAUUAGAUACCCGCGUAGUCCCUGUCUCUUAUAC